Molecule: ribosomal RNA, 720 nt
Filed under: uncultured bacterium
Lineage: Bacteria
Description: bacterial SSU rRNA
Rfam family: Bacterial small subunit ribosomal RNA
Source: RNAcentral
AGUGGCAGACGGGUGAGUAACGCGUAGGAACCUACCCUUUAGCGGGGAAUAGCUCAGCGAAAGCUGAGGUAAUACCCCAUAGUCCUUACUACUGAGAGGUAAUAAGGUAAAGAUUUAUCACUAGAGGAGAGGCCUGCGUCCUAUCAGGUAGUUGGUGGGGUAAAAGCCUACCAAGCCAAUGACGGGUAGCCGGUGUGAGAGCACGGCCGGCCACAAGGUUACUGAAAUACGGAGCCUACACCUACGGGUGGCAGCAACCAGGAAUAUUGCGCAAUGGGCGAAAGCCUGACGCAGCGACACCGCGUGUGGGAUGAAGCUCUUCGGAGUGUAAACCACUGUGGCGAGGGAGGAAAUAUUGACAGUACCUCGCUAGAAAGCACCAGCUAACUACGUGCCAGAAGCUUCGGUAAUACGUAGGGUGCAAGCGUUAUCCGGAUUUAUUGGGCGUAAAGGGUCCGUAGGCGACCUGAUAAGUCUCUUGUUUAAGCCCGAGGCUCGACUUCGGACAGGCAAGAGAAACUAUUAGGAUUGAGUUAGUUCGAGGUAGCUGGAAUUCUCGGUGGAGGGGUGAAAUCCGUAGAGAUCGAGAGGAACGUCAAACGCGAAGGCAGGCUACUAGGACUUAACUGACGCUAAGGGACGAAAGCUUGGGUAGCAAAAGGGAUUAGAGACCCCUGUAGUCAAGCCGUAACACUCUUUGCUAGUUGUUCCUGAUUUCGA